GAAGAAAAUGGCAGUGUAAGAUAAGGAGCCAGAGAUGGCCUAGGCCAUCUGAUGAUUACAGCCUCUGAAGGAGGUCACAGUAGGAGGGGGUUCUGGGGAAUGGGGAACAGGAAUUCACUUCGGGGAGCGGGCAUCUUGGUGCUGAAGCUCUGGCCCCUCUCCCACUCAUCUCAGAGCAAGGCAGAACAUGGCCAUAAGGUCCGGCUGGCAGUGGGCAGCGGGCUGCGCCCAGAUACCUGGGAGCGUUUUGUGCGGCGCUUUGGGCCCCUGCAGGUGCUGGAGACAUAUGGACUGACAGAGGGCAACGUGGCCACCAUCAACUACACAGGACAGCGGGGCGCUGUGGGGCGUGCUUCCUGGCUUUACAAGCAUAUCUUCCCCUUCUCCUUGAUUCGCUAUGAUGUCACCACAGGAGAGCCGAUUCGGGACCCCCGGGGGCACUGUAUGGCCACAUCUCCAGGUUGGUGGUGUUCUGGUGGGGUGGGCGGGGUGCUGAAGCUAGCACAGGAGGACUGGAAUUGGAGACUGGGGUGGAUGGGGGCAGGAGGCUCUGGGAAAGGUGACAGCACUCCUGACCCUGGUGACUCUGCCAGGUGAGCCAGGGCUGCUGGUGGCCCCGGUAAGCCAGCAGUCCCCAUUCCUGGGCUAUGCUGGCAGGCCAGAGCUGGCCCAGGGGAAGUUGCUAAAGGAUGUCUUCCGGCCU
This 703-nucleotide small RNA is filed under the name Pongo abelii (Sumatran orangutan). RNAcentral describes it as "retained intron". The record is from RNAcentral. Lineage: Eukaryota; Metazoa; Chordata; Mammalia; Primates; Hominidae.